This 253-nucleotide ribosomal RNA is filed under the name uncultured bacterium. RNAcentral's name for it is "partial 16S ribosomal RNA". It matches the Rfam family "Bacterial small subunit ribosomal RNA", at positions 524 to 776 of the family's 1533-position model. The record is from RNAcentral.
UACGUAGGGUGCAAGCGUUGUCCGGAAUUAUUGGGCGUAAAGAGCUCGUAGGCGGUUUGUCGCGUCUGCUGUGAAAACUCGGGGCUUAACCCCGGGCCUGCAGUGGGUACGGGCAGACUAGAGUGCGGUAGGGGAGACUGGAAUUCCUGGUGUAGCGGUGAAAUGCGCAGAUAUCAGGAGGAACACCGGUGGCGAAGGCGGGUCUCUGGGCAGUAACCGACGCUGAGGAGCGAAAGCGUGGGGAGCGAACAGG